GCCUGCGCUCUGCAAACCCAGACAUCACCUGGUGCCACUGCAGACAAGAAGGCAUAGCAGUUGCCCAGCCAGUGGUCCAAGGAACUGCCAUCUGGGCUUUCUUUCUGAUACGUUGAGAGAAAAUUAGAGAAAGCCUGGAUGAUCUGUGGCAGGUGUUCUUUUUGCCUGGUACAUACAUAGGUCACUGCCUCAGCCUGAUGUCUCACAAACACUUGGAUGUAGUCCGCAACUCCCUUCCUAAUCUGUGUCCCUGACAGCACCCAUGCCAACGCCCUGAGCAGCAACAGUUCUAUUGAAUACUUUGGGUGAGCCUUGAGCAGAACAUUGCAUUUGCUCACCACCUCCUCUGAGCAUCCCCGCCUGAGCAGGGCCUCCAGUUUAUAUAUUGAGGACAGCACGUUGUCAGGACUUAAGGUGGAGAGAAAGACAGCGGCUAUUUCCACUCUGAGCGAUGCGAUGGCCACGUUCUUGCUCUGGAUCUUGGGAAUCUGGCUCUUACCCCUGCACCACAUCUCCAAGGUGGCAAUGACUCUCUCCCAGAGCCCGUUCUCCAAGGAGUUCACUUUCUGCAGGGCUGUGGGAGCACUGCAGCUGAAGGCGGCCACGUAGAAAGCCGUGGCUGUGGGCAGCUCCUGCUGGGCGAGGUGCUGGUCCCCUUCUCUGCAGAGCAGCGCGGCGAGCCCCUGAGGUGACAUUGCCAGCACCUGUAUCUUCAGCAAGGAGCCUCACACGAGCAUCUACAACAGCCUGUAAAACAAAAUCAGCGUGAGGGGCUGCUGAGCACAAUUUCUCUGCAUUUGGGGCACACAGCUUCCCUAAGGACAGACACAAACCAAAGAACCGGACGUUCUUACUGGGGAGCAAAGCCACGAGAAGAAGAAACAACACAGGUUAACAGUCCGCAUCCGCACGGCAGCACCACGAGUGAGCAGGAAGGAUGAGGCCGAGCGCAGAGCAUGAUGAAAAAACCCUGAGCCUACACUCGGCCUUGCCAGUCGCUGUUUCCUGUCACUUGCGAUGGCCUCUUCCCAGGACGGAUAUUUCUGGUGAUGUCAAUGAAGUUACCUGUGUGCAACGCUGGAGUAAUCCAUCGCAGG
This 1097-nucleotide long non-coding RNA is filed under the name Chrysolophus pictus (golden pheasant). Its description in RNAcentral is "lncRNA (ENSCPIG00010007116.1)". The record is from RNAcentral. Lineage: Eukaryota; Metazoa; Chordata; Aves; Galliformes; Phasianidae.